Molecule: long non-coding RNA, 235 nt
Organism: Tupaia belangeri chinensis (Chinese tree shrew)
Lineage: Eukaryota; Metazoa; Chordata; Mammalia; Scandentia; Tupaiidae
Exons: 3
Source: RefSeq, a predicted model, not a curated record
CUAAUUUCUUGAAAUCUGGUGAUGCUGCCAUUGUUGAUAUGGUUCCUGGCAAGCCCAUGUGUGUUGAGAGCUUCUCUGACUAUCCUCCUCUGAGUCGUUUUGCUGUUCGUGAUAUGAGACAGACAAUUGCUGUUGGUGUCAUCAAAGCUGUGGACAAGAAGGCUGCUGGAGCUGGCAAGGUCACCAAGUCUGCCCAGAAAGCUCAGAAGGCUAAAUGAAUAUCCCUAAUGCCUGC